RNAcentral lists this ribosomal RNA (496 nucleotides) under uncultured bacterium. RNAcentral's name for it is "partial 16S ribosomal RNA". It matches the Rfam family "Bacterial small subunit ribosomal RNA", at positions 29 to 507 of the family's 1533-position model. The record is from RNAcentral.
AUGAACGCUGGCGGCGUGCCUAAUACAUGCAAGUCGAGCGAACAGACGAGGAGCUUGCUCCUCUGACGUUAGCGGCGGACGGGUGAGUAACACGUGGAUAACCUACCUAUAAGACUGGGAUAACUUCGGGAAACCGGAGCUAAUACCGGAUAAUAUAUUGAACCGCAUGGUUCAAUAGUGAAAGACGGUUUUGCUGUCACUUAUAGAUGGAUCCGCGCCGCAUUAGCUAGUUGGUAAAGUAACGGCUUACCAAGGCAACGAUGCGUAGCCGACCUGAGAGGGUGAUCGGCCACACUGGAACUGAGACACGGUCCAGACUCCUACGGGAGGCAGCAGUAGGGAAUCUUCCGCAAUGGGCGAAAGCCUGACGGAGCAACGCCGCGUGAGUGAUGAAGGUCUUCGGAUCGUAAAACUCUGUUAUUAGGGAAGAACAAAUGUGUAAGUAACUAUGCACGUCUUGACGGUACCUAAUCAGAAAGCCACGGCUAACUACGUG